UACAGAGACUGCAAGCGUUAUUCGGAUUCACUGGGCGUAAAGGGUGCGCAGGCGGUUGUGUGUGUCAGGUGUGAAAGCCCGGAGCUUAACUCCGGAAUUGCGCCUGAAACUACAUGACUAGAGCAUUGGAGAGGGUAGCGGAAUUCACGGUGUAGCAGUGAAAUGCGUAGAUAUCGUGAGGAACACCAGAGGCGAAGGCGGCUACCUGGACAAUUGCUGACGCUCAGGCACGAAAGCGUGGGGAGCAAAAGGGAUUAGAAACCCCCGUAGUCC
RNAcentral lists this ribosomal RNA (273 nucleotides) under uncultured bacterium. RNAcentral describes it as "partial 16S ribosomal RNA". It matches the Rfam family "Bacterial small subunit ribosomal RNA", at positions 524 to 796 of the family's 1533-position model. The record is from RNAcentral.